GAGACAAACAACUGCGAAAGCAUUUGCCUAAAAUACUUCCAUUAAUCAAGAACGAAAGUUAAGGGAGUGAAGACGAUCAGAUACCGUCGUAAUCUUAACCAUAAACUAUGCCGACUAGGCUUUGGAUGAAAGAUUUUAAAAUAAGAGUUUUCUCUUCGGAGUUUACUCUUAGAUUGCUUCCUUCAGUGCCUUAUGAGAAAUCAAAGUCUUUGGGUUCUGGGGCGAGUAUUCGCGCAAGCGAGAAAGUUAAAAGAAUUGACGGAAGGGCACCACCAGGCGUGGAGCUUGCG
Molecule: ribosomal RNA, 290 nt
Filed under: Plasmodium vivax (malaria parasite P. vivax)
Lineage: Eukaryota; Apicomplexa; Aconoidasida; Haemosporida; Plasmodiidae
Description: partial 18S small subunit ribosomal RNA
Rfam family: Eukaryotic small subunit ribosomal RNA
Source: RNAcentral